UACGUAGGGUGCAAGCGUUGUCCGGAAUUAUUGGGCGUAAAGAGCUCGUAGGCGGUCUGUUGCGUCGGCUGUGAAAACCCGAGGCUCAACCUCGGGCCUGCAGCCGAUACGGGCAGACUAGAGUUCGGUAGGGGAGACUGGAAUUCCUGGUGUAGCGGUGAAAUGCGCAGAUAUCAGGAGGAACACCGGUGGCGAAGGCGGCAUCCUGGACCAACAUUGACGCUGAGACGCGAAAGCGUGGGGAGCAAACAGG
RNAcentral lists this ribosomal RNA (253 nucleotides) under uncultured bacterium. RNAcentral describes it as "partial 16S ribosomal RNA". It matches the Rfam family "Bacterial small subunit ribosomal RNA", at positions 524 to 776 of the family's 1533-position model. The record is from RNAcentral.